This 429-nucleotide ribosomal RNA is filed under the name Pseudomonadota bacterium. RNAcentral describes it as "Proteobacteria bacterium partial 16S ribosomal RNA". It matches the Rfam family "Bacterial small subunit ribosomal RNA", at positions 355 to 776 of the family's 1533-position model. The record is from RNAcentral. Lineage: Bacteria; Pseudomonadati; Pseudomonadota.
UGGGGAAUAUUGGACAAUGGGCGAAAGCCUGAUCCAGCCAUGCCGCGUGUGUGAAGAAGGUCUUCGGAUUGUAAAGCACUUUAAGUUGGGAGGAAGGGCAGUAAGCGAAUACCUUGCUGUUUUGACGUUACCGACAGAAUAAGCACCGGCUAACUCUGUUCCAGCAGCCGCGGUAAUACAGAGGGUGCAAGCGUUAAUCGGAAUUACUGGGCGUAAAGCGCGCGUAGGUGGUUCGUUAAGUUGAAUGUGAAAGCCCCGGGCUCAAACUGGGAACUGCAUCAAAAGCUGGCGAGCUAUAGUAGGGCAGAGGGUGGUGGAAUUUCAUGUGUAGCGGUGAAAUGCGUAGAUAUAGGAAGGAACACCAGUGGCGAAGGCGACCACCUGGGCUAAUACUGACACUGAGGUGCGAAAGCGUGGGGAGCAAACAGG